UGGAUGAUGAUGGCAGCAGCAGCCGUUCUCCUCUGCAGGUGAAAGCUGAGCUGUGAGAGAGGGCAAAGUCUGCAGGACCUCACAGUGAUGAUGAGCUUCAUAAAAAACACGGCAACUCUGAAAAACGAGAGCCAUUACUAGUGAUGAGUACCAGAGUGGAAAGAAAACAUCCUGCUGAGGAAGAGAUUAACCUCAGAGGAGGUCUUUUUCUGUUAGGUCUCAGUAAGAAGACAAACUGCAGAGGACACACAAGGCAGUUCAUGAGACUAACCCUGGAAUUUGAUCCUGGUUUCUGAGAGCAGAUUAGUUCCACAUGAGGCAGAGGACUCUGAAACCUGAUUCUGACAUUCUCAGACCUACACUGGGAAAAUGUGUUGCUGCCGGUGACAACAUUGUCAAGGAGUCACCUGGAAACACUCACCUGCCCUGUUGCCCUCCAUCUUUCCAGGAACAGCUUGUUCUGAAGCCAAACAGGGGACUUCUGGGUAAUUCCCUGAAGUAAUUUCUAUUGAAAUCUCUUGCUUUUUGUCUCACUAGUUGCAUUGCUAAAACUAGAAUUCAUUGUCUCAGAGCUCUUUAAAAACUGAUAAUGUGAUCACAUAAAAACUCUGAUUAAACAUGU
Molecule: long non-coding RNA, 622 nt
Organism: Oreochromis niloticus (Nile tilapia)
Lineage: Eukaryota; Metazoa; Chordata; Actinopteri; Cichliformes; Cichlidae
Exons: 3
Source: RefSeq, a predicted model, not a curated record